This 524-nucleotide ribosomal RNA is filed under the name Bacillus sp. E28. Its description in RNAcentral is "bacterial SSU rRNA". It matches the Rfam family "Bacterial small subunit ribosomal RNA", at positions 56 to 563 of the family's 1533-position model. The record is from RNAcentral. Lineage: Bacteria; Bacillati; Bacillota; Bacilli; Caryophanales; Bacillaceae.
UGCAAGUCGAGCGAACAGAAGGGAGCUUGCUCCCGGAUGUUAGCGGCGGACGGGUGAGUAACACGUGGGUAACCUGCCUGUAAGACUGGGAUAACUCCGGGAAACCGGAGCUAAUACCGGAUAGUUCCUUGAACCGCAUGGUUCAAGGAUGAAAGACGGUUUCGGCUGUCACUUACAGAUGGACCCGCGGCGCAUUAGCUAGUUGGUGGGGUAAUGGCUCACCAAGGCGACGAUGCGUAGCCGACCUGAGAGGGUGAUCGGCCACACUGGGACUGAGACACGGCCCAGACUCCUACGGGAGGCAGCAGUAGGGAAUCUUCCGCAAUGGACGAAAGUCUGACGGAGCAACGCCGCGUGAGUGAUGAAGGUUUUCGGAUCGUAAAGCUCUGUUGUUAGGGAAGAACAAGUGCGAGAGUAACUGCUCGCACCUUGACGGUACCUAACCAGAAAGCCACGGCUAACUACGUGCCAGCAGCCGCGGUAAUACGUAGGUGGCAAGCGUUGUCCGGAAUUAUUGGGCGUAA